ACGAAUAACGGAAGUAUCCCAGGUGGACAGUUUUUGCCCCAUCCUGCAUAUACAAAUAUGGAGAAUGACUUCACUACUUGAUGAUCGCAUAAUCUUGAUGUCAUCAUCUUACAACUUUGUCUAUGAGGAUGUAAAAGAAUAUCUCGUCAUGUAGGCAGAAGCGUUACGUACACAUUUCACUGCUACCACACAAAUUUCUCGCUUCAGGAAAAAAGAAGAAUCGAUUAUGGAACCAC
Long non-coding RNA from Habropoda laboriosa, 236 nucleotides. RefSeq lists it as uncharacterized. The record is from RefSeq and is a predicted model, not a curated record. The transcript has 3 exons. Lineage: Eukaryota; Metazoa; Arthropoda; Insecta; Hymenoptera; Apidae.